Anas platyrhynchos (mallard) is the source of this 2556-nucleotide long non-coding RNA. RefSeq lists it as uncharacterized. The record is from RefSeq and is a predicted model, not a curated record. Lineage: Eukaryota; Metazoa; Chordata; Aves; Anseriformes; Anatidae.
CCUUCCAUAAUAUGCCUGCAGAAUAGUUCCCUGAGGUUACCUCAGUUAAUUAGGACACACAGGUUUCUAAAUUUAUCCUGAUUUCUCCCCUGUUUCUAAAGCUACUGCUGCGGGCAGUCAUUAGUAAUCUUCUGUAGAGUAAAAAUGUUAAUUUAGGUUUCAUCUCUGCUGAUACCAAGCCGAAAAACUCACAAGGGUCAGCUUAAUCCUCAUCUGCAUACAAAAAAAUGUUUGGUUUAUCUCAAAUGUAAUUAGAAAUGUGACUCAUUCACCGCAACAUUCACCUCAGGAGCAGGGUGUGCUCCCAUCAACUUAAUCCAGUCACUAAAUCAAGAUAUACUGAUGCUAAAAGAUGAAAACCACAUUAAGUGUAUGCAUUGAGGAAUCUGAACCUGUUUAACUAAACCAAUUAAAGUAACAUGUUUUAAAACAGUGUUAUCUUCAUAGCUCAUCAACACCUUUGUUUAUUGCAGCCAGAGGGCUUCGGCUAUGAACACCCUGAGAGCCAGCUGUGAGGUUAGGUCAUGGAGACAGAUUGCCUUGCCUGAACAACAGAGGUCCAGAGGGCAUUUUUAGGAAAAGGUUCAGUUUCCCUUGCUAAUAAAACACACCUCAUUCCUAGUGUGAGUUUGCUGAAUUUCCCCUUCCAGUUAAUUUUGGUUGCUCUCAGUCUUGGUCUGCCCUUAAAGCUUUUGCUCCAUGUAAAACCAUACAUAGGUUUUAUGAUCAGUUCUUACCACCCUCAUUUAUGAAGGGGACUCCAGUGACCUGGCACUGGGGAACAGGCCUGGCAAGGGACUGCUCAGAAGGGUGUUUUGGUAACCAUGAAACACUCCCGGCCUGGCUUCCUGUAUGAGAAAACAACGUGUCAGGAGGUAUCUGAGCAUGCAGCUGCGGCACAGCCGUGCAGCCGGCCUUCCUGGGUCUGGCUGCACUACAGAGCACCGCUCACUGCCCCGGGCCCUCUGGUACAGCAAGGCCGAACUCGGGUCACUGCAGACCAUAAGUGAUACCAUCAGAAAGCUCUCAUGUUGAUCUCCAUGGCCACAUACAUAUUCGUUAACGACAGCCAGAAUCUGCAUUUUCUUUGGGUGAGAAAUUCCCCUUUACAACCAAGGUGUCCCUACACAAAAGCCUCCAGCUCAACCGACGGCUCGAUUUGGCUUGCAGCGCGACAUGCAACCGUGCGAAAGACCUGGGCUCAAGGGUCCUAGUCCUCCUCAGGCUGGUGAGGAGGAAGGCUAGCUAGCGCUGCGUCAGCAGGAGUGCCUCCAAGCAGUCACGGUGUUUCGCCACAGUGAAAACUAUGGGAUACUGAGGGAAAGGGGCUCGUCACGGGAUCAAACGGCAGCCCAGAAUGCAGGGGCAGGUGAGACUGACCUGUGAUCCUGGCUCCCUGUUUGGGGGGGGUCAGAGCCCUCUGGGCUUAUGCCUUGGGCUGGGGUUUGGUGGCCGAGAGAAAGCCCAGGCUCAGAUGCAUGAGUUACCCUGCUGCAAAAACACAAUAUAUAAUAGAAAGUCUAAGCCAACGAUGUUCGUAUCAGUUACAACAACGAGGAAGAUAAAUGCUUAUAGGAAAAGCAGUGCAAAUUAACAACGAUCAGAACUGCUAUUUGGCAAAACACAUGUUCCCUGGGACCUGUUUUAACACAAGUUCCCAAUUAAACUUCAGCUUAUUCAGAAAACCCUCAUUAUCUUUCCUGGAUAACUCUAAUUGAUUUUAACAGAAAACUUGUUUUAUCAGGGCAUUGCAUCAACCCUGCUUGUGAAAAAGCUGCAGAAAUGCUGGGCCUGUUGGCAUUCCUUCUGUGUGAACCAAACCAUCUGCCUUUAAUAAAGAAGAAUUUUGUUUUGAAACAUCUAGAAACAAUUUAAAAUAUCCCAAAAGAGCUUUAGCAGUCUCUGCAGAGUGAUACUCUCAGCAGACACCUCAUUUCAUGAAUCUGUUAAGUAUAAGGAGUUGCAGAGAGGUAUGUGCAACCAUGUAUGUUUCCAGGACAUUUUUCCAGUACAUUUUCCAGGAACUGCCCAAUGCAACCCUCCUGUCAGUGUUGUUCAUGAGGGCUGCACAGCUUAAAACUUGUGCAGUGCUUAAGAAAUUUCAUUUAAAUGAUUAAUGGCAAGAUUUUCCAUCUGAUGCUUGCCUGUACACACAAAAAAAUACUUGUGCAUAAUGUGCAAUUACUGCAGACUAAUAAAUAUACCAGAUUCUUUUAUAGGCAAGUGUAUUACUGUGCAACUUCUGGAACUCGUGGUAAAAAAUAAAAAAAAUAAAAAAAUAAAAAAAAUUCUGCACCAGGUAUGGCAAAACUGAACACCACCUUUCAGCAGGUAAUCUAUCUGUCUCUGUCAUCCACAAGAAACCAACAGUGCUACCCUCUUUUUCUGUCUCAACAAAUAUUCUUCAUUGGACUUACAAGGGUCACAUAGGUUGGUUGGCUUUCCAUUUCAGAACAGAUUUUAAGGUUAUUCUGUGUUCUCCAGAGAAAUUAAGAAAGUAAAUUUGUCUGGGAAAAGCCUCCAUUUAUUCUAAGGUAUCCUCAAAGUAGCUGGCAU